Capra hircus (goat) is the source of this 1463-nucleotide long non-coding RNA. RefSeq lists it as uncharacterized. The record is from RefSeq and is a predicted model, not a curated record. NCBI's taxonomy places the organism in Eukaryota, Metazoa, Chordata, Mammalia, Artiodactyla, Bovidae. The transcript has 4 exons.
AGGUUUUAGUAGGUGAAAGAAAUCUAUAAUAAUGAAAAUUACUAUUAGCGUUGUUACUCGACGUUACGGUAAUUAUUACUGUUGUCUGUAAUUAUGAAGUUUAUCCACACAACAGCUGCUCAGUUGAAGAUGACCAAAGAGGAGUUUCAGUAUGUCUAAGUACUUUAAAACCACAGAAAACUACAACCCAGGAGGCCUGGCCCCAUUCCCCGCAGCAGCCAUCUGGGAAAUCCAGACCCCCAAUCUCCGCUGCCAUAGGCCUCAAGGUCCAGUUUCGGUCAGUGGCUUUGCUCCCGUAUCCUUUCCAAUUGGAAACAUGGGGGGGAACAUGCUCCUCUAAGCAAUCCCAGGGGCGCCUCUCUUCCCCGCAGCCGGCCUCCAGCUUCCCUACAUCACUAGCUCUGAGCAGGACGUGCCUUCCUGGUUUUCUACCACUCCUCUGCGUACCCCUAGUCUCAGCCUAAUGCAAGUGGUGCCGGCUGACCCCUUGCAACCCAGAUAGUAGCCCGGAAAUGCACUUCCUGAUCUGUAUUUUAAGGUCUUUUAUAAACAUAACGGAAGCAUAAUAUUGAGUGAGGAACACGUCUAAAAUUAAGGCUUUCCUAUUUAUAGGGCUCUUUAUAACUUUUCCAUCCUAAAACUAAAGCUAUUCAAGGAGGGGAGAGAGGCUCAAGAAGCAAGUGAUAUACAAAUAUAAACUACAUAUGUAAGUAAUUAUGGCUAAUUUGGAUUGUCGUAUGGCAGAAACCAACAGAAAAUGGAAAAACAAUUUUUCCCGAUGAAAAAAUUUUUGAAAGAAAUGAUACUAAAGCUAUUUGAAUGCCUUUUUGUAUGCAAAGACCUAGUUCCACAUUACUCUUUUCAGUUUUUCAGCAGAAUUCGAAAAUUGGCGUGACAAGAGGUUUAGACAUCUUUUAAAAAUUGCGUUCUAGAAACAUCUAUUUAUGUAUGUGUGUACUGCUCACUAGCCUUCAUUUAAUUGCCAUACUUUGAAAAAAAUUUGUUCUGGAAGGAAUUGUUUUAUUUUUUGCUUUGAGACCAAUAUUUUAUGUUUUGUGUUUUUAUUCAUUACGGAAUCUGAGCUGUGUGUCCUCCGGUUGAUACUCGAAGACUCAAAGGGAUCAUUCAGCAGCUGUGGAACUUUUUCUAUUCUGCCAGAAUGUUCAUGGGCUCCUCUGCCUGCAGUUGCAGCAUGAAGACCGCCUGAAGGCAGAGAGCGGCGGAGUCAUCAGGAAGGGGAACCCUCUCCAGGGCCCUAGAGUGGGCUCACACGUGCUGACAAAGCAAGAGACUUGGCUGGAGGGGCGCCCGGGAGGACAGCAGCAGGCUAGGGCAUGGAGGAGAAAUAUACUUCCAUGUUUGCUUACAGGGAACUCUAGAAGGACCCGUAAGAAACAAAACACUACCUGCGGAGGGCAGACGGCCCUGGGCACACAGGCUAAACGACAGGAGGCACAAAUUAA